UACGUAGGCAGCGAGCGUUGUUCGGAGUUACUGGGCGUAAAGGGUGUGUAGGCGGUUGUUUAAGUUUGGUGUGAAAUCUCCCGGCUCAACUGGGAGGGUGCGCCGAAUACUGAAUGACUUGGAGUGCGGGAGAGGAAAGUGGAAUUCCUGGUGUAGCGGUGAAAUGCGUAGAUAUCGGGAGGAACACCAGUGGCGAAGGCGACUUCCUGGCCUGUUCUUGACGCUGAGGCGCGAAAGCUAGGGGAGCAAACGGG
This 254-nucleotide ribosomal RNA is filed under the name uncultured bacterium. RNAcentral describes it as "partial 16S ribosomal RNA". It matches the Rfam family "Bacterial small subunit ribosomal RNA", at positions 524 to 776 of the family's 1533-position model. The record is from RNAcentral.